GAUGAAGAACGUAGUGAACGUGCGAAACGUAAUGUGAAUUGCAGAAUUCAGUGAAUCAUCGAAUCUUUGAACGCAUCUUGCGCUCCUUGGUAUUCCGAGGAGCAUGCCUGUUUGAGUGUCGUGAAUACUCUCAACUUCAACCCUUUUUUCAGAAAGGGAGGAAGGUUGGACUUGGGUGUUUGUUGAAGUGCGAGCUUCGACUCAUCCUAAAUGCAUUAGCGAUCUGCCUCGAUCACACACAAUGUGAUAAUUAAAACUAAAGCAUUGUUUAAUGAUCAAGUCGAGACUGCUUCUAACUGUCGCAAGACAAUAACGUGCAUACAUUUGUGCAUGUCAUUUGACCUCAAAUCAGGUAGGACUACCCGCUGAACUUAAGCAUAUCAAUAAGCGGAGGA
Molecule: unclassified non-coding RNA, 395 nt
Filed under: soil metagenome
Description: partial contains 5.8S ribosomal RNA, internal transcribed spacer 2, and large subunit ribosomal RNA
Rfam family: 5.8S ribosomal RNA (bases 1-121)
Source: RNAcentral